This 497-nucleotide ribosomal RNA is filed under the name uncultured bacterium. RNAcentral's name for it is "partial 16S ribosomal RNA". It matches the Rfam family "Bacterial small subunit ribosomal RNA", at positions 29 to 507 of the family's 1533-position model. The record is from RNAcentral.
UACGCACGCUGGCGGCGUGCCUAAUACAUGCAAGUAGAACGCUGAAGAGAGGAGCUUGCUCUUCUUGGAUGAGUUGCGAACGGGUGAGUAACGCGUAGGUAACCUGCCUUGUAGCGGGGGAUAACUAUUGGAAACGAUAGCUAAUACCGCAUAACAAUGGAUGACACAUGUCAUUUAUUUGAAAGGGGCAAUUGCUCCACUACAAGAUGGACCUGCGUUGUAUUAGCUAGUAGGUGAGGUAAUGGCUCACCUAGGCGACGAUACAUAGCCGACCUGAGAGGGUGAUCGGCCACACUGGGACUGAGACACGGCCCAGACUCCUACGGGAGGCAGCAGUAGGGAAUCUUCGGCAAUGGGGGCAACCCUGACCGAGCAACGCCGCGGGAGUGAAGAAGGUUGUCGGAUCGUAAAGUUCUGUUGUAAGUCAAGAACGGGUGUGAGAGUGGAAAGUUCACAGUGUGACGGUAGCUGACCAGAAAGGGACGGCUAACUACGUG